UGGGGAAUCUUGCGCAAUGGGCGAAAGCCUGACGCAGCCAUGCCGCGUGAGUGAUGAAGGCCUUAGGGUUGUAAAACUCUUUCACCGGGGACGAUAGUGACGGUACCCGGAGAAGAAGCCCCGGCUAACUUCGUGCCAGCAGCCGCGGUAAUACGAAGGGGGCUAGCGUUGCUCGGAAUUACUGGGCGUAAAGGGCGCGUAGGCGGAUCAGCAAGUUGGGGGUGAAAGCCCGGGGCUCAACCUCGGAAUUGCCUUCAAAACUGCUGAUCUAGAGUACGGGAGAGGUGUGUGGAACUCCGAGUGUAGAGGUGAAAUUCGUAGAUAUUCGGAAGAACACCAGUGGCGAAGGCGACACACUGGCCCGUUACUGACGCUGAGGCGCGAAAGCGUGGGGAGCAAAC
RNAcentral lists this ribosomal RNA (401 nucleotides) under uncultured bacterium. RNAcentral describes it as "partial 16S ribosomal RNA". It matches the Rfam family "Bacterial small subunit ribosomal RNA", at positions 355 to 773 of the family's 1533-position model. The record is from RNAcentral.